AUUUUGUAGGUAUCUCUUUUGAAAAUGAGACUUUAAACAGUAUGGUUUCAAAGCUUGGUCAUAUAUGGCAGUAGUGGACCAGAGUGAUGGUCUCUAUAUUCAUUUUAGCAGGGGAAUUAGACAACGCAUUUGAUAUCAAAGUUUCUUUGAAUCUAUUUUAUCUGCACAGAAAUGAAAAUUCUCUUUGCAUGGAAUUAGCUGAAUGUCUUUGCUUUCUAGUACAAUAAAGCUUGGUUGCAAAACCAAAAUGCUGAUAUUCAUAAAAGUAAACUUUUCAUAAAAAACUGAAAACUGCUCGUAAAAUGUUUGGGAUGGUUAUUAUUAUUAUUAUUUUGAAUUUAUUGCCGGCAGCAAUAUAGUCUAAAAAGAACAAAAGGUUAUUAUUCUUUUAGCCAUAUUGUUGAGUUUUUAGAACCCAAAAGCAUAUGCAUAAAAAAUUCUCGAAUUUCUUUGAGAAUAAGUAGAUAAGGAGAAGAGGUGAACCAAUAUCAGAAUAACUGGAAGAUCUUUUGGAAUAUUAGUUUCUAAUUGCUAUGACCUUUAUUUUGAAUUGUUUUACUUGUGUUAAAAUGUUGAGUUCAUAUGACAAUGUUAUAUUUUGUCUAUGAUUAUUUUAUAGUACAAAAGAAUAUCAGCUUUGAAACUGUUCUAAGUGUGCUUUUGCCAUAAUAGCGUUGUUGGAAAUUAUUUUAAUAUGCAUUAAUAAAUCUUUUUCUGUGCUUCAAGUGUUCACCUGUCUUUCAAAGUUUUUUUUGCUAUUUCCAUUGCAUUUGCGGCAUGUUUACUAGAUAUUCCUUUUUCGGAGUCUUUUUAAAUGUCAUGCUGCAACAAAAUUUUGAUCCUUGUGCAUGAUAUUGCAUUAAAAAGCAUUGCAAUUUUAGGCUAUUUACCUUCGUGGAGAUGUUUUUCUUCUUAUUUUUGUGUCGAUUUUUAAUUAAGAAUUUGGAUUAUCUUCUUUAUUUUUAUUUUGUAUAUUCUUUUCAAUGAUGACCAAAAUUCUUUCAAACCUGAUAGUCUCUUGUACAAACUUUAUGAGAAAACAGGCUUUUAUAACAAUGGAAAAUGGAAAUGACAACUGCAAUUUCAUUUUUAACAUACGGUUCCCACCAUACUUAUAAAAGUAGCAUGUGCAACCCUCUUCAAAUUCUUUUGACGACAGAAUGUUCAUUUUUUUGGAUGUCGUACCAGUCUCGGUUACCAUCCUUGUGCUAUGUCUUGAUAGUCUUCUUCUUUUUUUAAUCUUCUUUCCAAGAGGAUGAAAUAAUGAAUAAGCUGCCCAUCUUUUGAUUUGUCCUUUGAAUUUUUUUUUUGAUAAAUAAUUUAUCCUUUGAACUUUUCAUCCUUGAGAUCCCACUUAUCUGCUAACUGGGGGUUGAAAAGUUGCAUGGCCCAUGGUUAGCCAAAUUCUCCCCAUGAUUAUUCUUAGAUGCAUGACGGUGGCAUGAAUAUGCAAGUGGUUAUUGGAUUAGGAGUUGUUUCUGGAUUUUAUUUUUUGUUUUGUUGGAGAUGCAUUUUCUUUCUGUGUUUUCUUACUUGUAGAGGAUGCCUCACCCUUGCCUCUUUUUUGAUCUAUUCAAUAAAUUCUGUUUUUGCUGAUACAAAAAAAAAAGUCCUGUCAUUUGAAUUCAGAGGUGGUUGAUUGGUUUUGAAUGGUAUAAUUUCUUCUUAUCCUGAUGUUUGUUGUUUUUUACUGUCUGAGGUGCAUUCUUUACAGAAAGCUGUAUAGGGUACAAGCUUCAGUUCACAAGUCAAGCUCACUUAUAAAUGGUGUAGAAUUCAAUUUAUUUGAUGAGCUUGCUAAGGCUUGGUUUGGCUUAUGAAGCAUUGUUGGAGGAUAAUUUAAGAGCAACCCACCACUUGCCUUGAUGAGUUUGGAUCAUUGAAUAUUAAGCAAGAUCAGUCAGUUUAUUAUGCUGACAUGUGCUAGAUGAAGUUGUAUCCUCCUAAUGAUUGGCUAGUGGGGUCAUCCUUGCCCUCUAAAUUCAGCCCAACCAUUAUUGAAUCAGCACUCAAUGAGCUUACCCCAAACAAUGUUAGGAUCCAAAUGCCAUUGUUUCAAGUAUACUCAUAACAUGUGGUUUGGCUGGCAUAAUAUGAAAGCAUGUUUAAGGUGAAUGUUCAUUUAUUUCAU
Non-coding RNA from Camellia sinensis, 2131 nucleotides. The record is from RefSeq and is a predicted model, not a curated record. NCBI's taxonomy places the organism in Eukaryota, Viridiplantae, Streptophyta, Magnoliopsida, Ericales, Theaceae.